This 218-nucleotide long non-coding RNA is filed under the name Gallus gallus (chicken). Lineage: Eukaryota; Metazoa; Chordata; Aves; Galliformes; Phasianidae. The record is from RNAcentral.
CUCUGGUGUUGAGGUCUAGCUUAUGCAGGUCGGUGCUGUAAAUGUAACCAGUUGUUCCACCAAACACAUACAGAGACCCAUUGAUGAUGGCCAUGGCCUGGCCAUAGAUCCGAUUGGGUUUCUUUCCUCUGCAGCUGAGCAGGGCCCAUCUUUUGUACUUGACAUUGCAGACGUGGACAUCGUUGCCAUUACUUUCCCCAAAUGGUAUUCCAGUGCCC